GAGAGAACUCGGGUGAAGGAACUAGGCAAAAUGGUGCCGUAACUUCGGGAGAAGGCACGCUGACACGUAGGUGAAGUGAUUUACUCACGGAGCUGAAGUCAGCCGAAGAUACCAGCUGGCUGCAACUGUUUAUUAAAAACACAGCACUGUGCAAACACGAAAGUGGACGUAUACGGUGUGACGCCUGCCCGGUGCCGGAAGGUUAAUUGAUGGGGUCAGCGCAAGCGAAGCUCCUGAUCGAAGCCCCGGUAAACGGCGGCCGUAACUAUAACGGUCCUAAGGUAGCGAAAUUCCUUGUCGGGUAAGUUCCGACCUGCACGAAUGGCGUAAUGAUGGCCAGGCUGUCUCCACCCGAGACUCAGUGAAAUUGAACUCGCUGUGAAGAUGCAGUGUACCCGCGGCAAGACGGAAAGACCCCGUGAACCUUUACUAUAGCUUGACACUGAACAUUGAGCCUUGAUGUGUAGGAUAGGUGGGAGGCUUUGAAGUGUGGACGCCAGUCUGCAUGGAGCCGACCUUGAAAUACCACCCUUUAAUGUUUGAUGUUCUAACGUGGACCCGUGAUCCGGGUUGCGGACAGUGUCUGGUGGGUAGUUUGACUGGGGCGGUCUCCUCCUAAAGAGUAACGGAGGAGCACGAAGGUUGGCUAAUCCUGGUCGGACAUCAGGAGGUUAGUGCAAUGGCAUAAGCCAGCUUGACUGCGAGCGUGACGGCGCGAGCAGGUGCGAAAGCAGGUCAUAGUGAUCCGGUGGUUCUGAAUGGAAGGGCCAUCGCUCAACGGAUAAAAGGUACUCCGGGGAUAACAGGCUGAUACCGCCCAAGAGUUCAUAUCGACGGCGGUGUUUGGCACCUCGAUGUCGGCUCAUCACAUCCUGGGGCUGAAGUAGGUCCCAAGGGUAUGGCUGUUCGCCAUUUAAAGUGGUACGCGAGCUGGGUUUAGAACGUCGUGAGACAGUUCGGUCCCUAUCUGCCGUGGGCGCUGGAGAACUGAGGGGGGCUGCUCCUAGUACGAGAGGACCGGAGUGGACGCAUCACUGGUGUUCGGGUUGUCAUGCCAAUGGCACUGCCCGGUAGCUAAAUGCGGAAGAGAUAAGUGCUGAAAGCAUCUAAGCACGAAACUUGCCCCGAGAUGAGUUCUCCCUGAGACUUUAGGUCUCCUGAAGGAACGUUGAAGACGACGACGUUGAUAGGCCGGGUGUGUAAGCGCAGCGAUGCGUUGAGCUAACCGGUACUAAUGAACCGUGAGGCUUAACCUU
Molecule: ribosomal RNA, 1256 nt
Filed under: Salmonella enterica subsp. enterica serovar Typhi
Lineage: Bacteria; Pseudomonadati; Pseudomonadota; Gammaproteobacteria; Enterobacterales; Enterobacteriaceae
Description: partial 23S ribosomal RNA
Rfam family: Bacterial large subunit ribosomal RNA
Source: RNAcentral